UCGUAAUUAUCGAUGAAAACUAAAGUUAUCUUGGAAUUUUAUGUGUGAAAGCGUAUAUUUUACUCGUUUCAACAGCUAUCAAACCUAUUUUCU
Long non-coding RNA from Trachymyrmex septentrionalis, 93 nucleotides. RefSeq lists it as uncharacterized. Lineage: Eukaryota; Metazoa; Arthropoda; Insecta; Hymenoptera; Formicidae. The record is from RefSeq and is a predicted model, not a curated record. The transcript has 3 exons.